This 456-nucleotide ribosomal RNA is filed under the name uncultured Sphingobacteriales bacterium. RNAcentral describes it as "bacterial SSU rRNA". It matches the Rfam family "Bacterial small subunit ribosomal RNA", at positions 923 to 1382 of the family's 1533-position model. The record is from RNAcentral. Lineage: Bacteria; Pseudomonadati; Bacteroidota; Sphingobacteriia; Sphingobacteriales.
GCACAAGCGGAGGAACAUGUGGUUUAAUUUCGAUGAUACGCGAGGAACUUACCUGGGCUUAAAUGGGGAGUGACAGCUGUCGAAAGAUGGUUUUCUUCGGACACUCUUCAAGGUGCUGCAUGGUUGUCGUCAGCUCGUGCCGUGAGGUGUCGGGUUAAGUCCCAUAACGAGCGCAACCCUUACCGUUAGUUACCAUCAGGUUAAGCUGGGGACUCUAGCGGGACUGCCACCGUAAGGUGAGAGGAAGGUGGGGAUGACGUCAAAUCAGCACGGCCCUUAUGUCCAGGGCUACACACGUGUUACAAUGGCCAGUACAAAGGGCAGCUACCGGGUGACCGGAUGCUAAUCUCUAAAGCUGGUCUCAGUUCGGAUCGAAGUCUGCAACCCGACUUCGUGAAGCUGGAUUCGCUAGUAAUCGCGGAUCAGCACGCCGCGGUGAAUACGUUCCCGGGCCUU